AAAUGGACACUUUGGACAGGUAUGUGCUUAACCCUCGGGUUGAUAAUAUAUACAACAACGAUAAGGUAGUAAGAUGAUGAAUGAUGUUUAGAAAUAUGAUAUAUGUUUUGGUGAUACCAUGCUAAAGUUGUUUGGUAUAUUUGUAUUGUUAUGUUACUUGUUAUUUACAUAUGAACUUACUAAGCAUUUAUGCUUACUCCCUCCUCUUUAUUUACUGUAGUUUUGAACAAGCCAGCUCAGGAAUCGGGAUGGGUUGAAGGUUCGAUGACACUAUCCAAAGGACUUUCAUCUGGGUAAAUGGCUUGUAAAACUUAAGUAUGGC
This 322-nucleotide long non-coding RNA is filed under the name Gossypium barbadense (sea-island cotton). Its description in RNAcentral is "long non-coding RNA (GBAR_LNC007002)". The record is from RNAcentral. Lineage: Eukaryota; Viridiplantae; Streptophyta; Magnoliopsida; Malvales; Malvaceae.